Molecule: ribosomal RNA, 450 nt
Filed under: uncultured bacterium
Lineage: Bacteria
Description: partial 16S ribosomal RNA
Rfam family: Bacterial small subunit ribosomal RNA
Source: RNAcentral
CCUACGGGAGGCUGCAGUGGGGAAUUUUGGACAAUGGGGGCAACCCUGAUCCAGCCAUGCCGCGUGCGGGAAGAAGGCCUUCGGGUUGUAAACCGCUUUUGUCAGGGAAGAAAUCUUCCGAGCUAAUACCUUGGGAGGAUGACGGUACCUGAAGAAUAAGCACCGGCUAACUACGUGCCAGCAGCCGCGGUAAUACGUAGGGUGCAAGCGUUACGCGGAAUGUCUGGGGGUAAAGCGUGAGGACACGGUUGAAAUCCCCGGGCUUAACCUGGGAACUGCACUUGUGACUGUACGGCUGGAGUACGGCAGAGGGGGAUGGAAUUCCGCGUGUAGCAGUGAAAUGCGUAGAUAUGCGGAGGAACACCGAUGGCGAAGGCAGUCCCCUGGGCCUGUACUGACGCUCAUGCACGAAAGCGUGGGGAGCAAACAGGAUUAGAUACCCUAGUAGUU